AUUGAACGCUGGCGGAAUGCUUUACACAUGCAAGUCGAACGGCAGCACGGGAGCUUGCUCCUGGUGGCGAGUGGCGAACGGGUGAGUAAUAUAUCGGAACGUAUCCAAUAAUGGGGGAUAACUGGUCGAAAGAUUAGCUAAUACCGCAUACGCCCUGAGGGGGAAAGCUGGGGAUCUUCGGACCUAGCGUUAAUGGAGCGGCCGAUAUCUGAUUAGCUAGUAGGUGAGGUAAAAGCUCACCUAGGCGACGAUCAGUAGCUGGUCUGAGAGGACGACCAGCCACACUGGAACUGAGACACGGUCCAGACUCCUACGGGAGGCAGCAGUGGGGAAUUUUGGACAAUGGGCGCAAGCCUGAUCCAGCCAUUCCGCGUGAGUGGAGAAGGCCUUCGGGUUGUAAAGCUCUUUCGCAAGGGAAGAAAACUUAACCUCUAACAUAGGUUGAGGCUGACGGUACCUUGAUAAGAAGCACCGGCUAACUACGUGCCAGCAGCCGCGGUAA
RNAcentral lists this ribosomal RNA (502 nucleotides) under uncultured bacterium. RNAcentral describes it as "partial 16S ribosomal RNA". It matches the Rfam family "Bacterial small subunit ribosomal RNA", at positions 30 to 523 of the family's 1533-position model. The record is from RNAcentral.